GACGAACGCUGGCGGCGUGCUUAACACAUGCAAGUCGAACGGAAAGGCCCUGCUUUUGUGGGGUGCUCGAGUGGCGAACGGGUGAGUAACACGUGAGUAACCUGCCCUUGACUUUGGGAUAACUUCAGGAAACUGGGGCUAAUACCGGAUAGGAGCUCCUGCUGCAUGGUGGGGGUUGGAAAGUUUCGGCGGUUGGGGAUGGACUCGCGGCUUAUCAGCUUGUUGGUGGGGUAGUGGCUUACCAAGGCUUUGACGGGUAGCCGGCCUGAGAGGGGGACCGGCCACAUUGGGACUGAGAUACGGCCCAGACUCCUACGGGAGGCAGCAGUGGGGAAUAUUGCACAAUGGGCGGAAGCCUGAUGCAGCAACGCCGCGUGCGGGAUGACGGACUUCGGGUUGUAAACCGCUUUGGCCUGUGACGAAGCGUGAGUGACGGUAAUGGGUAAAGAAGCACCGGCUAACUACGUG
This 468-nucleotide ribosomal RNA is filed under the name uncultured bacterium. Its description in RNAcentral is "partial 16S ribosomal RNA". It matches the Rfam family "Bacterial small subunit ribosomal RNA", at positions 28 to 507 of the family's 1533-position model. The record is from RNAcentral.